GACGAACGCUGGCGGCGUGCUUAACACAUGCAAGUCGAACGGUAAGGCCCUUCGGGGUACACGAGUGGCGAACGGGUGAGUAACACGUGGGUGAUCUGCCGUGCACUUCGGGAUAAGCCUGGGAAACUGGGUCUAAUACCGGAGAGGACCCCGGCCUGCAUGGUCUGGGGUGGAAAGCUUUUGCGGCGUGGGAUGGGCCCGCGGCCUAUCAGCUUGUUGGUGGGGUGAUGGCCUACCAAGGCGACGACGGGUAGCCGGCCUGAGAGGGUGACCGGCCACACUGGGACUGAGAUACGGCCCAGACUCCUACGGGAGGCAGCAGUGGGGAAUAUUGCACAAUGGGCGCAAGCCUGAUGCAGCGACGCCGCGUGAGGGAUGACGGCCUUCGGGUUGUAAACCUCUUUCAGCAUCGACGAAGCGAAGUGACGGUAGGUGCAGAAGAAGGACCGGCCAACUACGUGCCAGCAGCCGCCGUAA
RNAcentral lists this ribosomal RNA (477 nucleotides) under uncultured bacterium. RNAcentral's name for it is "partial 16S ribosomal RNA". It matches the Rfam family "Bacterial small subunit ribosomal RNA", at positions 28 to 523 of the family's 1533-position model. The record is from RNAcentral.